CCAGCCACCCCUCCUCCCUGGCAUGGGAUUCAUGGGCACCAGCUGAGGACAGGGUUCCCUCCUCUGCCUGCCAUAAACGUUGGCACUGAGGACCCGGGUUCAGAAGGACAGGACAUUCCCAAAGAAAAUAGUUUUAAGUUGCUUUUUAAAAUAUAGAUGUAUCUAUUUUGUGAAACAUUGCACCCGUUUUGGUGUGAGUGCGAAGGCGAGUGGAAGAAGGUGACCGAGCCAGGAGGAGAGAGCACAGAUGGCUUGGUGGUGGUAUGGUGUGGUGAGUUGUGGGGAAGAGAGGGGGUCUGGCAGAGGUGGAGGGGAGGCGGGUUGAGGACCCUGUUUUCUUCUUUUCGUUUUUCUGUGGAUGAAGGAGAGAAAGAGAGAGAAGGGGGUGGGGAGAGAAGCGAGACAGAUGGCAGAGUGGAGAGGCGGCAGCCAGUGCCGGCACUGCCCAGCCUGGGCGGACCCAGCUCCCCCCAUGCCUGCCAGCUUUCCAAAUGCCACCCUUCCCCCAUCCUCCCCUCUCCCCAUCCCCCCAGCUUGGCACUGAUCUCGGAGAGGGAGGGAGGGAGGCUGGGCAAAGAGCAUCUGUUCCCUCCAUUCUCACAGCUCCAUCGGCUGCCAACCUAGGGCCAUCGCCUGCCUCCAUCACCCCUCCGCCCGCCUGCCCGCCUGCCUACCCACCCAAUCCCAAACGGGUGCUGGAUCAGGUGCCGAAUCUGGCUGCCUCUUCGGGACCUCCUUCCCCUUCCCUCUUAGGCAUGGGGAAUGGAGCGACAGACGGUGAGACGCUUGAGGACACAAAGGAGGAAGCUCGCCAUUGCCAAGACCCCAAGGAAGAGGGGUGGAGAGCGCUGGCAGUCCUGCCUGGACCCCAGCCAGUUUGCUGCUGAAGAUGGCCAAGCCCUCUUGCCUGGUCUGUACAUGUCACUGCGGGCGCGUGGGGGAGGGGAGGGCUCGCUUGCUGAACUGGGACAAGAAUGGGAAGGACCCCUUUCUGCAGGUCCUGUUUGGACUCUCCAUGCUAACAAGUGAGGUUCUAACUCCCCCUGGUGCCUUCUCCUCCAGGCCCCCUCCACUCUACCCCUCUUUCAUCUUUUUAUCACCACCUGGGUCCUACUGCUUGGCACCCAACCAGCUAGAUGCUGCCGGCUUGGCAGUGCUGCACUGGCACGUGAACAGCGUCUCAGAUCCUGGCACUGCGGCAAACCCCACGCCACCGAACAUGCUCACCACCGCCACUUGGCGGCACUGAGAGAGGGGGCAGUGCACCCAGAAGUGCCAGGCUUUGGAUGGAGCUCUGUGCUAGGGAGUGGAGGAGAGGACACCUUCCUCCCGACUGGAAACACCUCCCUCCUGCCCUCAGCUGCCCCCAAGAAGGGACUGAAAUGGUACUACACUCAGUGUUUGAGCAGCUAUUCCAAGAAAGCCUGGAGCAGAGACACAGCCACAGCCAGGUCCGUGGACUGUAUCCUGCUCUGGGCAGCAAGGGUAGAAAAGAAUUUCGGGGGGCGCUGAGAUGAGAGGCCAGUCAGCUAUGUUGUCACAAAGAUGGUGCCAGAAGAGAUUGGAAGGGAAGAAGUAGGAAGAGAGACCCUGGGCCCUGGCUGCUGUGGUGAUGGGAGGUCUGCGCCUGCAUGGAUUUCAUUCUGCCCUUGUGAUUCUGUCCCUUGUCGUUGAAUGAGCUGUGGUUUAGAUGAAUCAAUCAUCUCUCCCUCAUCAAAAGGCCAUAUUCGUGAACAGUCCUAGAAAGAGAGAGGACUGUGGGCCUAGAGAGGUAGGCAAGUGUUAGGGAGACAAAGACACCUGGGACUUGUCCAUCCACAAAGACCAUUCCAAGAGACUGUGUUUAGGAGUUUCUCGGUACCUGCCCAAUUGGAGUCGGUCAGUCUCCAUAUGUUUAUAAGGGAGAUCAUGAAUCAGCCACAAGCCCUGGUAGAGGAAGGCCCCUCAAAGCAGAAUCCCCCGCAACUGUGGUGAUACAUCCAGAGGCCGUGCCAUGGGCAGUCCCACAGAACUGGACCUUGAACUUUCACCUGGAAGAACUUCUUGCAGGUUGGCUUUUCCUGGGUAGCCAUAAGUUGUGGGUCAGUGACUAGGAAAAUCUUCCAGUAGAUUUUGCUCUGGGGAAAGUAGGUGGCUCUGAUGGGGGACAGGGCCUGUCCAGAGCAAGGCAAAAUCAUGGCUGUGUUGUGCCACCGCUCAGCUGGCCUCGGGUCUGUCUUCUGGCCUCGGCACCACCAGGAGGGGAUGGUGGCUUUGGAGGAAGCCAAGUGGGCUCCUUAGCAGAGGAGAGAGCAGGGAGGCACUCAGCCAAGGGGCGAGUGGACAGCAGCAGAAGACAGACUCUGCACUGUGAGUAGUGGGGGGUGUUAUCAUGGUGAUGACACCGUCCGCGGUGAUGCUUGCCCCGUGGGGCAGCCCCUGAUGGGGCAGGGUUGAGCCUGGGUCUAGAGUCGGGGACAGUCACAGCUGAGGAAGGGGCUGAGCAGUCUGAAUUUGUGCUGAAAUUCCAGAGCUCAGAACCACUUGAGGGGUUCUUGAUUCAGUUGAUGGGAGAUGUGAUCUCGGAGCGUGUGUUAUAAACAAGCACUUAGGGACCGUGACACAGGUGGGCAAAACUUUGAGAAGCACCAUUCUACAAGAUGCCGGUCACUUUGUAGGAUGGUUGCUCUAGCCUGGAUUCCCCACACCUUCUGCAUCUUUCUUCUUCCUCUCCAACCGUAUUCGCGUCUUUGAUGCUGUUGUGCAUGUGUCAUGAGGUGUGUGUAAGGUGGGGGCAGGAGAAGAAAAAGGAGAGACUGUAAGUUCAGACCGAGCAAUUGAACUUGUUAGAAUAGUGCUUCUCAUUGGCAGUGGUCACCACAGAAGAGUCCCUUAGGGAACACUUGCAAAAGUCACUCUUUCACCCCCAGAUUCUGAUGUGCUUCUGAAACUUCACCACUGAAAGCCACUCAGUUAGGAGAUUGCUCUCUGUGGUCCAGUCAGGUUUAUGUGGGUUUUGUGGCUCGGGACAGUGAAGGUGUGAGCAAUGCUAAGCUCCUGCUGAUAUUUGUGUUGGCAUUUUAGACAUUGUUUAUGUAAAAGUAUGUACAGUUGGGGUUGUGGCUCUCCUUCUGGCCACCUAAAAUCAACCUCGCUUCUAGCUAGGUGGCUCUCCGUGGCUGGGGAGAAUUAAGAAACACCAGAUUCAGGCUACUGAUUGAGAAUGAGGCCAGUUACCCCUUGUCUGUCCUUUAUGUGGAAGGUUGCCCUAGGCUCUUCCCAUAAAGUGUAGCCUCUCCCUGUGAGGCUUCCCCUAGGGAUCACGCCCCAUCUUUCCCUAAACUUGAUGAGCUACGGUCUAGGUCUCCCACAAAUGUCUACUCUCUUGCUUUUCAUUUGACCUUUGCAAAAGACAUCCAAGUUGUAACCCUGUAGAGCCUGGGACUGGACCAUAGCAAGAGCUUCCUUGGUACUAGGGCAUUUCUUCCUUCUUCAGUCCUCUAGAAAUGACAUCCUUCUGGCUUACAAGCUUCUCCUUAGUUGCUCCCAACUGGUGGUUUGCGCUUCCUAUCACAGCCUAGAGAAAUGUUCCCAGGACCUGGCCCCUCCUCUAGCACAGGGUCCUGGUCCAGUUUACCCCUGUAUUUUAAGAGUUCUCCCCCAGAGUUCCUCCUGAUUUCUGUUUCUUUCCCCUUCUUAGAGUCACACUCCCGUGGAAUUAAAGGUCUGUCCUCCAUGGAUUAAUGUUCAACAUAGGUCACCCUUCCUGACAUAGGUUACAUCUCCCCUGACUGUUUAUGGACUUUUCCUACCUACUAUUGUAUGAAGAAAGUAGGUGUACUGGAGGGUAUUUGUGCUUACAGGAGUGUAGGUGCUGGGGCCCAUGUGCCUACGUGCCCAAGGGGCCUGUCCUUGCUGGCAUUUGAACGAACCCUUCUCUACAUCGUCGGCUGUUUCUGAUGGUAUGCUUGCUGAUUUCACUGGUGCAGAUGUACACACAAAGCACUAUACCUCAGGUGCAUAUUAUAUAGGGGUGAAUGAUAAGCAAAUGUGUCUUAAAAUAACAGAUCAGGGUGUUGGAGAUCUGGGGGAAUCAAGAGAUCCAGUCUGUAAGCCUUGAAGGUGGUUACGGAACACACAGAAGGAAUCGAGCAGGUGGGUGCUUUUAUGCUUGGAAUACCUGGCUUUCUUGGGUCUGGUGCCUGCAUUUGUAAGUAAAGUCCAGAGGCGAGAGGACCAGGGGAAGAACUGGCUUCUUUUUAUGGUCUUAUUGCAGACUCGGCCCCAUUUAGCCACGAUUUUCAGAUUUUCUCUAUUCCAGACUUUCUAGUUGAGGUUUGGGUACCUUAAGCCACAGACUCUGCUUUAAAGAAAAACACCUUUAAAGAAAAGCACAUUUCCACCUUCUGCCUCCCAGAAUGGUGGGCCAUGAUUUGGAUGCUCUCAGACCCGUGUAUGUCAGAGAUGCUAGGCCCCAGGCCAUGGGAGAACAAUCUCAUGAACCACUGAUUCAGGCCCACUUUGGGGAUGGGGCAGGGAUGAUGCCUAAGAUAGGCAUCGGUGUGCCAGGCGCUUCAGCUGAUCUAUUACUUCACAGGAGAAGCAACAUAACAGCCUGGGUGACUUGGCCUUCACCUCUAGCGUUCUGCGUGGGAUUGCCCAACAGCCUCUGUCCAGCAGAAAGGCCGACUGCUUGUCUCUGAAUGGAGCGCUGCAGCCAAGGACUUUUGGUCUAAGACAGGUCAGGGGAGAAAUGCUUCCACCCCCUGGGAAGAUGGGGUGGUACCCCAGGAGAAGCAUGUUGACUUACUUAAGUCAGCAGAGUCAGCCAGGCUCUUUUGUCCCCCAAAUGACAGGGCCCAGAGCCUGAAACAAAGGAAGGCCACAGGAGGAGACUGGAGGUGGAAGUCAAGAAGGAAAAGUAAGCGCAUGUUACUAGAGGGAGAUGUUCUCCACAGUCCCGCUCCCCCAGCCUCCCCACUCACCUGAACUGAAAGGAGCUAAGCUGCCCAGUGGUGGCUGGGCCAGAGCUGGGCCUGGCAAGAGGACCGGGGCCAGGCGAGGCAGGGCCGGGGCCGUCCCCAGGGGCAUCGAGGCAGGUGUGGUGACAGGUGGGGCCUUGGGAGCCAGGGGUGCCUCAGGGGCCGGGGCUGGGGCCAGGUCGUAGCACUUGCUUUCACUCUUCAGCUGGGCUCGGACAGCCUCCUUGAGCUUGGCCAGGUGCUGGCGGGAAAAGAGAUGGCCUCGGCAGGAGACAUAGAAAUCAUACUUGACAUCACAGUAGGGGCAGUCAGUGCGCUGGGCUCCCAAGGGGCCCUCACUGCUGCCCCCAGACCCACCAACUGCUGCCCCCUGCAGUUUGGCCUUCUUUUCCUUGGCACGAGCAUUCUGGAACCAGACCUGGAUGACUCUCUUGGGCAGCCCAAUCUCCUCUCCCAGCACCUCGCACUCUUGCAUGGUUGGGGUGCGGUAGGCUUCAUAGCAGGCUUUCAUGAUCUUCAGCUGCAGGCUGCUCAUCUGGGUCCUAUAGCGCCGCUGCCCUACUCCAUCUGGAACCCCAGCCCCACCUCCUUGUCCCCCACCAAUCCCUCCAGCCCCAGGGGACUCUGGUUCAGCCAGGCUGGAAGCAGACGAAUCGCUUAAAUCUCCUGCAGAUGGACUGCAAGCCUCACUCU
Molecule: long non-coding RNA, 5654 nt
Organism: Talpa occidentalis (Iberian mole)
Lineage: Eukaryota; Metazoa; Chordata; Mammalia; Eulipotyphla; Talpidae
Exons: 3
Source: RefSeq, a predicted model, not a curated record